GAGUUUGAUCCUGGCUCAGGACGAACGCUGGCGGCGUGCUUAACACAUGCAAGUCGAGCGGUAAGGCCCUUCGGGGUACACGAGCGGCGAACGGGUGAGUAACACGUGGGUGACCUGCCCCCUUCUCUGGGAUAAGCCUGGGAAACUGGGUCUAAUACCGGAUAUGACUCAUGGCUGCAUGGUUGUGGGUGGAAAGUGGUGUUUUCGGACACUGUCGGUGGGGGAUGGGCCCGCGGCCUAUCAGCUUGUUGGUGGGGUGAUGGCCUACCAAGGCGACGACGGGUAGCCGGCCUGAGAGGGCGACCGGCCACACUGGGACUGAGACACGGCCCAGACUCCUACGGGAGGCAGCAGUGGGGAAUAUUGCGCAAUGGGCGGAAGCCUGACGCAGCGACGCCGCGUGGGGGAUGACGGCCUUCGGGUUGUAAACCUCUUUCGGCCCCGACGAAGCGUGAGUGACGGUAGGGGUAGAAGAAGCACCGGCCAACUACGUGCCAGCAGCCGCGGUAACACGUAGGGUGCGAGCGUUGUCCGGAAUUAUUGGGCGUAAAGAGCUCGUAGGCGGUGUGCCGCGUCGGCCGUGAAAACCUGCAGCUUAACUGUGGGCUUGCGGUCGAUACGGGCAUCACUGGAGUUCGGCAGGGGAGACUGGAAUUCCUGGUGUAGCGGUGAAAUGCGCAGAUAUCAGGAGGAACACCGGUGGCGAAGGCGGGUCUCUGGGCCGAUACUGACGCUGAGGAGCGAAAGCGUGGGGAGCGAACAGGAUUAGAUACCCUGAUAGUCCACGCCGUAAACGUUGGGCGCUAGGUGUGGGGGCCAUUCCACGGUCUCUGUGCCGUAGCUAACGCAUUAAGCGCCCCGCCUGGGGAGUACGGCCGCAAGGCUAAAACUCAAGGAAUUGACGGGGGCCCGCACAAGCGGCGGAGCAUGUGGAUUAAUUCGAUGCAACGCGAAGAACCUUACCUGGGUUUGACAUGCGCCAGACGCGUCUAGAGAUAGGCGUUCCCUUGUGGUUGGUGUGCAGGUGGUGCAUGGCUGUCGUCAGCUCGUGUCGUGGGAUGUUGGGUUAAGUCCCGCAACGAGCGCAACCCUUGUUCCAUGUUGCCAGCGGGUGAUGCCGGGGACUCAUGGGAGACUGCCGGGGUCAACUCGGAGGAAGGUGGGGAUGACGUCAAGUCAUCAUGCCCCUUAUGUCCAGGGCUACACACGUGCUACAUUGGCGCGUACAGAGGGAUGCAAUACCGCGAGGUGGAGCAAAUCCCACAAAGCGCGUCUCGGUUCGGAUUGGAGGCUGAAACUCGCCUCCAUGAAGGUGGAGUUGCUAGUAAUCGCGGAUCAGCAACGCCGCGGUGAAUACGUACACGGGGCUUGUACACACCGCCCGUCACACCACGAAAGUCGGCAAUACCCGAAGCCGGUGAGCUAACCGCAAGGAGGCAGCCGUCGAAGGUAGGGUUGAUGAUUGGGGUGAAGUCGUAACAAGGUAGCCGUAGCGGAAGCUGCGGCUGGAUCACCUCCUUUCU
RNAcentral lists this ribosomal RNA (1523 nucleotides) under uncultured bacterium. RNAcentral describes it as "bacterial SSU rRNA". It matches the Rfam family "Bacterial small subunit ribosomal RNA". The record is from RNAcentral.